UCAUAUGCUUGUCUCAAAGAUUAAGCCAUGCAUGUCUCAGUACAAGCCAAAUUAAGGUGAAACCGCGAAAGGCUCAUUAAAUCAGUUAUGGUUCCUUAGAUCGUACCCACAUUUACUUGGAUAACUGUGGUAAUUCUAGAGCUAAUACAUGCAAACAGAGCUCCGACCGGAGACGGAAGGAGCGCUUUUAUUAGAUCAAAACCAAUCGGUGGCGGGUCUCCCGUCACCGUACACCUUGGUGACUCUGAAUAACUUAUUGCUGAUCGCACGGUCUCGCACCGGCGACGCAUCUUUCAAAUGUCUGCCUUAUCAACUGUCGAUGGUAGGUUCUGCGCCUACCAUGGUUGUAACGGGUAACGGGGAAUCAGGGUUCGAUUCCGGAGAGGGAGCCUGAGAAACGGCUACCACAUCCAAGGAAGGCAGCAGGCGCGCAAAUUACCCACUCCCGGCACGGGGAGGUAGUGACGAAAAAUAACGAUACGGGACUCAUCCGAGGCCCCGUAAUCGGAAUGAGUACACUCUAAACCCUUUAACGAGGAUCAAUUGGAGGGCAAGUCUGGUGCCAGCAGCCGCGGUAAUUCCAGCUCCAAUAGCGUAUAUUAAAGUUGUUGCGGUUAAAAAGCUCGUAGUCGAAUUUGUGUCCCGCGCCGCCGGUUCAUCGCUCGCGGUGUUAACUGGCGUGUCCGCGGGACGUCCUGCCGGUGGGCUUAGCCCCCCGUGGGCGGCCCAAUCUCAAUCCCACCGCGGUGCUCUUCACUGAGUGUCGAGGUGGGCCGGCACGUUUACUUUGAACAAAUUAGAGUGCUUAAAGCAGGCUAAAACAUCGCCUAAAUACUGUGUGCAUGGAAUAAUGGAAUAGGACCUCGGUUCUAUUUUGUUGGUUUUCGGAACCCCGAGGUAAUGAUUAAUAGGAACGGAUGGGGGCAUUCGUAUUGCGACGUUAGAG
RNAcentral lists this ribosomal RNA (946 nucleotides) under Monteithocanthon glaber. Its description in RNAcentral is "SSU rRNA". It matches the Rfam family "Eukaryotic small subunit ribosomal RNA", at positions 24 to 910 of the family's 1831-position model. Lineage: Eukaryota; Metazoa; Arthropoda; Insecta; Coleoptera; Scarabaeidae. The record is from RNAcentral.